UACGUAGGGACCAAGCGUUGUCCGGAAUCAUUGGGCGUAAAGAGCGUGUAGGCGGCUUGUUAAGUCUUGCGUGAAAUCUCGGGGCUCAACCCCGAGCGGUCGUGAGAAACUGGCAGGCUAGAGUGCGGGAGAGGAGAGUGGAAUUCCUGGUGUAGCGGUGAAAUGCGCAGAGAUCAGGAGGAAAACCGAUGGCGAAAGCAGGUACCUGGACCAUUACUGACGCUCAGCUGCGAAAGCUAGGGGAGCAAACAGG
This 253-nucleotide ribosomal RNA is filed under the name uncultured bacterium. RNAcentral's name for it is "partial 16S ribosomal RNA". It matches the Rfam family "Bacterial small subunit ribosomal RNA", at positions 524 to 776 of the family's 1533-position model. The record is from RNAcentral.